UAGUCCACGCCGUAAACGAUGGAUACUAGCUGUCCGGGUCCUUGAGACCUGGGCGGCCAAGCGAAAGUGAUAAGUAUCCCACCUGGGGAGUACGUUCGCAAGAAUGAAACUCAAAGGAAUUGACGGGGGCCCGCACAAGCGGUGGAGCAUGUGGUUUAAUUCGAUGAUACGCGAGGAACCUUACCAGGGCUUAAAUGCAUAUUGACAGGGUCAGAGAUGGCCUUUCCUUCGGGCAAUUUGCAAGGUGCUGCAUGGUUGUCGUCAGCUCGUGCCGUGAGGUGUCAGGUUAAGUCCUAUAACGAGCGCAACCCUUGUCGUUAGUUGCCAGCAUUUAAAGAUGGGGACUCUAACGAGACUGCCGGUGCAAACCGAGAGGAAGGUGGGGAUGACGUCAAAUCAUCACGGCCCUUACGUCCUGGGCUACACACGUGCUACAAUGGUAUGGACAGAGAGCAGCCACUAUGCGAAUAGGAGCGAAUCUACAAACCAUAUCAC
RNAcentral lists this ribosomal RNA (495 nucleotides) under uncultured bacterium. Its description in RNAcentral is "bacterial SSU rRNA". It matches the Rfam family "Bacterial small subunit ribosomal RNA", at positions 791 to 1289 of the family's 1533-position model. The record is from RNAcentral.